RNAcentral lists this long non-coding RNA (381 nucleotides) under Monodelphis domestica (gray short-tailed opossum). RNAcentral describes it as "lncRNA (ENSMODG00000040900.1)". The record is from RNAcentral. Lineage: Eukaryota; Metazoa; Chordata; Mammalia; Didelphimorphia; Didelphidae.
AGAUUGUUUCUUUCUGCUACUGCUUCUUUCUCUGUUGGGAAAGGACACUGAAGCUAAAUCCAUUAGCCCUAGAAUUUACCCAGUAGCAUGCCCUGACUACAAAAGGAAGGCUGCCCCUGGCAUUCACACUCAGAAUCGGGAGUUUCUUUCCAUAUGACACCCACAGUGCAGAAUAUGGGACCCUGGGUUUCUCCAGAGCUGAGGCCACAAUAGAUAAGUUGCUUCCUGGAUCCUCUGGGCCUCAGAAAAUAAGGCCAUAAUACAAUAUGUGAUGAUAUAGAAGACACUGAAAAUGAUUGUUCAAUUGUUGAAUUGCCAGAGAUGAAGAGGACUUGAAAAAUCAGGAACAUAAUAGCACCUACUUCAUUGGGUUGUUAUUAG